This 487-nucleotide ribosomal RNA is filed under the name uncultured bacterium. RNAcentral describes it as "bacterial SSU rRNA". It matches the Rfam family "Bacterial small subunit ribosomal RNA", at positions 501 to 989 of the family's 1533-position model. The record is from RNAcentral.
CUACGUGCCAGCAGCCGCGGUAAUACGUAGGUCCCGAGCGUUGUCCGGAUUUAUUGGGCGUAAAGCGAGCGCAGGCGGUUUGAUAAGUCUGAAGUUAAAGGCUGUGGCUCAACCAUAGUUCGCUUUGGAAACUGUCAAACUUGAGUGCAGAAGGGGAGAGUGGAAUUCCAUGUGUAGCGGUGAAAUGCGUAGAUAUAUGGAGGAACACCGGUGGCGAAAGCGGCUCUCUGGUCUGUAACUGACGCUGAGGCUCGAAAGCGUGGGGAGCGAACAGGAUUAGAUACCCUGGUAGUCCACGCUGUAAACGAUGUCGACUAGGCGUCGGGUUGUUAAAGACUCGGUGCCGGAGCUAACGCAUUAAGCACUCCGCCUGGGGAGUACGACCGCAAGGUUGAAACUCAAAGGAAUUGACGGGGGCCCGCACAAGCGGUGGAGCAUGUGGUUUAAUUCGAAGCAACGCGAAGAACCUUACCAGGUCUUGACAUCC